AACGAACGCUGGCGGCGUGCCUAAUACAUGCAAGUCGUAUGAGAAAGGGGCUUCGGCCCUGAGUAAAGCGGCGGACGGGUGAGUAACACGUAGGUAAUCUUCCUUCGAGCGGGGGACAACGGUCCGAAAGGACCGCUAAUACCGCGUACGUUCCCGAGGACCCUGGUCCUUGGGAGGAAAGCUAGGCCGCAAGAUCCGGAACUCGGAGAGGACCGUGCGUCGCAUCAGCUAGUUGGUGGGGUAAUGGCCUACCAAGGCGAAGACGCGUAGCUGGUCUGAGAGGAUGAUCAGCCACACUGGGACUGAGACACGGCCCAGACUCCUACGGGAGGCAGCAGUGGGGAAUAUUGGACAAUGGGCGCAAGCCUGAUCCAGCCACGCCGCGUGAGUGAUGAAGGCCUUCGGGUCGUAAAGCUCUGUGGGGAGGGACGAACCGCUGCACGUGCAUAGCGUGCAGCAUGACGGUACCUCCUUAGCAAGCACCGGCUAACUUCGUGCCAGCAGCCGCCGUAA
Molecule: ribosomal RNA, 513 nt
Filed under: uncultured bacterium
Lineage: Bacteria
Description: partial 16S ribosomal RNA
Rfam family: Bacterial small subunit ribosomal RNA
Source: RNAcentral